CAAAACAGUGCUGGCCCGCAGCCAAGACAUGGCACUGACGGGGGCUCCCGACCAUUUGGCUCUUGAUUCUUUGGGGAAAGCAGCUGUAGAGAAAGGAGAAUGCACAACACCCUCGUCACACGCGCACUCACACGCGCACACCCUCGACCGCACGCAUUCCGGUACCGUCACCUCGGAGCCGUUAAGACUUGGGAUCCAAAUGAAGUUCUGCUGCCUACCGCCACGAGCCCUCCAGCGUCGUCCCCCACGAGCCUCCCUGCCCCCUGCUCCUGAUUCCCUUUCAGGAAUUUACAAACAUUUUCCGCAGAUCAAUAUCUGUAUUGAUUAUUCAUUGUGAGUGAGUCGUGUGUCUUUGGUGAUCCGGCUCGCAGAGGUAGCAGCCAAAGCCUGCUGCAGGGGAAAAAAAAAAAAAAUAACAGAAGGCGAGAGGGACCCAGCUCUUGCUGGGUCUGCGGCUGUCGGCGACACAGAAAGGAAGAGGAAACGAGGAAGGCACUGGGAAAUGAAGGAGUGGACAAGGGUGGAAGAGAAAGAGGGAGCAACAGCAAGAAAAACCAAGUGAUGAUGGGCACCUGGUUCCAGGGAUCUCGGUGGCUUGGAGGAAGCCCCCAUCGUGGUCUGCUGCUCCGUGCACCGUGCAGCGGACUCCCUCGGCUCUGGGAGUGAGAAGUGACUCACAGUUUUGGUAUCUCCUACGUAAGAGCUUUGGGGGGAUUCCUUGGCUUGCUGACAAGGACAGGAAGAAAGCAGCAGCAGCGAGGUAAAACACGAUUACUUCCAACUGCCUUGUGGAGGAUAUGCAGUCGCUUGGUUCGACUGGAACAGCUUGCCGCUCUCUGAUGGCACGCGGAGGGAGAAUAAUUAAAAAGGCCAGCAUCACUUGCUAAGAAGCUGCUGCAAUGUUACAAAAAUAUCCUGGAAAAAGGAGGUUGAGGAGAUUCGGUUUUCCGUAGACUGGGCUUCUGGCGAUGGUGCCAGGUGAUUGUCUUUUGCCAUUUGAACCACCAUGCGGGAGCUAGUUUGGGGUUCCUCUUCUGUUGUCACCCAGCUGUGGCAUGAACUCUACAUCUCAAGUGGGUAAGAAAAAAAAAAAGAUAGAAAUCCCCAGAAGAGAGAUCCUGCACGUAGUUUGGAAGAAAUUUUUCCCAUGGCACCUGAUAUAACUUCAGCAGGAAAAGGCAUCUCAGCAGAUGGUAACGGGCAGCAAGGAGGCCCCCCUCUCUCACAAGUACAAUAGGGCCUUCCAAUUUCCAAGGUGUUCUUCAUGCGUAUUAUCCUGUUUAAUUCUCACUACAACCCAGCAAGGCAGAUUGUAUUUAGCUUGUUUUGCAUGUGAGGAUAUUCAGGCUCUGGGAGAUGACGAAACUGCAUCAAGUUGGAAGCUGGUAAGAGGCAUUCACGGAUUCUGAGUCUUAGCCUCAUGCUGUUUCAUUAUUCUUCAUAGAUUCUUCUAGAAAUAUCCUCUUCAGAACCCCUUACCCAAGGCUUCCUCUAUUCUUGAUCCUCUCUCAUCCUCCCCACCCUUACUCCCUCACUAUGAGGUUCUCAUUUUGUAAUCUGUGUAAUUUGUAGUCAUGUGCAAUUUGAAAAUGCUCCUUAUACCCUGCCAGCAGUUAAGAACCAGGGCUAAGUUUCAACUGGCAAUGGCAGAAACCUUCUUUAACUUUUCACUUUCUCUUAUCUGCGCCCCCCGCUCUGCUCCCUUGUUCCCUUGAAAGUCAGGUUUAUCCACAGCCAGUCUACAUUUGCCCUGUUUUUAGCUCUUUGCUUUCUUUUGCAUCUCUAACAAAGCACUUUGCUUCCAUUUCUACUCCCCAUUAAAACUACCUCAGGUCAUUAAUGACCAAUUCAAUUGUACUUUCCUUCCCCAUAGUUACAGUCUCUUGACCACUCCCUCCUCCAUGACACUCUUGUCUUCUUACCUAUCUGAUACGAUGCUAUGCUAGAUUUGCUCCUUUAUUUAUGGCUGCUUCAUCUCAGACUUAUUCUUCCUUUUUAAUCCCUUUAAUAUUAGUGUUCCCCCAAGUGGUUUCUGUGGUUCUCCUCUAUUCUCAACUGCCUUGUGUAAAUGUAAACCCUUGAUUUCAAUAGUCAUCUCUAAACUAAUCAUCAAAUUCUCGUCUCCAGCCCAAACCACUCUCCUGAACUCAGCUCUGGAUAUCUGGCUGCCUGCUGACAUCUCCUCGGGCACUCCUAACUCAAUACCCUCUAAACUUACCAUCAUCCCCAAACCUUCUCCUUCUGGAUCCCUUUUCCUUCACCCCUCUCACUGCCAACUGCUCUUUGAGUUCUUUCAAUGCUACUUUCUUAAUUUCUCUCUAACCACUCAUUUUCACUAAAUUCUGAUUGCUCCUCUCUUGGUUUAUUUUCCCAGUGGCUUUCUAAUAGCCCAGCUGUUCUCUUCAUUCUCAGACGAGCCCAGCCCACAAUGCAUUCUCUGUACUACUUCUAACUCAUCUAUAGAACAUGCAAAUAUGACCAUUUUGCUUGCCUCUGUGAACCUUCAGUGGACUCUUUCUAACUUGGUCUUCAAGGCUCCUCAUGAUCAGGGCCUUGCAUCUUCCCAGCCUUCUUUCUUAAAAUUCUUCCAUUUCUCACCCUAUAUUACAGGUCACAGAAUACUCAUAGCUCUUUUAUGCCUCUAGGGUUUCAUAAAAUGUUCCUGCCUCAUGGAAUGUUCACCUCUACUUUUUUUCAUUUGGCCAAUUCCUUCACCUUCAUGGUUCUGUUCCAGCAAGAAGCAAUACACCUCCCCACCCCACCCAAGACUCCUACUACGGAUUAUAUGCUGCCACAAGCCCUAUACCCCUGCCCGCUGUUCCACAGCAUUUACCCCACUGGCAUAGUAAUCAGGUUCUCCUAUUUGACUGUGAGACACUUAAAGGUAGAGACUGUGACUUUUAUCCCUGUGUUCCCAGAACCCAGCACAGGUUCUGGUGUAUACUGGAUGCUUAAUAUAUUAACAUUACUGUUUUUAUUCUGAGUAUCAUAAAUGCUGUUUUUUUGAGCUGUCAAAUUACAGGUCCCCCAAAUAAUCAAACUGAGGGAAAUACAGCAACCAUUUCUCAUGGUGGAAAAAAGAUUUCCUAUGGUGCAGUUCUCACUUACAUCAGUUUUUUGACUUCUGUCAGGUGAGAAAUGAAUGCUGGGGUGGUCUUGAGGUGUGUGCUGAUGUGGUAGAAACUUUGGAGUUAAUUAGAAGCUUUGGCUAAAGCUGAACUUCCUUUGUGGAGUUCCUGGAGGAAACACUAAAUUAACAGUUCAAGGUUACUAUUAGAAAAAUAGCCUGUUUCCCUUAGGUUAUGCCUCAGGGAGCUCGUUGUUCUCCCUGCCAUUUCUAAGAUGUGUCUACCUUCCUUUGGACCUGGCUACAUCUGCCACUUUAAGCCUAGUCUUUCUAACAAAGGUGAAAUCCCUUGAGGUCAAGACUGCUGAAUGCUUCUUUUGCAUAUCUUCCAAUAGCAGUAUAUUCUAGUACAUUCAGUUAAUACUGGUUGAAUUGAACAGCAGGAAAAACUGUCUACCAUAGAAGGAAGAAUCAGGAUGGCUUUUUAAGUGUCCAUCUUCCACAAAGCAGAAAAUGGCAUGAAAUUAUUAGUACCAUAGUACCUUGACAGUCCCAUGAAAUAGCUCAUGACAUCAUUAGGAAUUCCUACAUUUGCAAAUACAGCCAAUUCUCAUUAUUUAUGGUAGUUAUAUUCUAUAAAGCCAACAAAGACUUUGAAUUAGCAAAUACUGAACUAUUGCUCCUAGGAGAAAUAUACGGUUAGGUUCCUUUGAACCUCUGGUCAUCAUAUUUUUGUUAAGUGAUCAAUACAUAACCUUGUUUUAAGUGUG
Long non-coding RNA from Neofelis nebulosa (Clouded leopard), 3837 nucleotides. RefSeq lists it as uncharacterized. The record is from RefSeq and is a predicted model, not a curated record. Lineage: Eukaryota; Metazoa; Chordata; Mammalia; Carnivora; Felidae. The transcript is spliced from 3 exons.